RNAcentral lists this ribosomal RNA (495 nucleotides) under uncultured bacterium. Its description in RNAcentral is "partial 16S ribosomal RNA". It matches the Rfam family "Bacterial small subunit ribosomal RNA", at positions 28 to 507 of the family's 1533-position model. The record is from RNAcentral.
GACGAACGCUGGCGGCGUGCCUAAUACAUGCAAGUAGAACGCUGAAGGAGGAGCUUGCUUCUCUGGAUGAGUUGCGAACGGGCGAGUAACGCGUAGGUAACCUGCCUGGUAGCGGGGGAUAACUAUUGGAAACGAUAGCUAAUACCGCAUAAGAGUAGAUGUUGCAUGACAUUUGCUUAAAAGGUGCAAUUGCAUCACUACCAGAUGGACCUGCGUUGUAUUAGCUAGUUGGUGAGGUAACGGCUCACCAAGGCGACGAUACAUAGCCGACCUGAGAGGGUGAUCGGCCACACUGGGACUGAGACACGGCCCAGACUCCUACGGGAGGCAGCAGUAGGGAAUCUUCGGCAAUGGACGGAAGUCUGACCGAGCAACGCCGCGUGAGUGAAGAAGGUUUUCGGAUCGUAAAGCUCUGUUGUAAGAGAAGAACGAGUGUGAGAGUGGAAAGUUCACACUGUGACGGUAUCUUACCAGAAAGGGACGGCUAACUACGUG